UACGAAGGGGGCUAGCGUUGUUCGGAAUUACUGGGCGUAAAGCGCACUUAGGCGGAUUAGUAAGUCAGGGGUGAAAUCCCGGGGCUCAACCUCGGAACUGCCUUUGAUACUGCUGAUCUCGAGUCCGGAAGAGGUGAGUGGAAUUCCUAGUGUAGAGGUGAAAUUCGUAGAUAUUAGGAAGAACACCAGUGGCGAAGGCGGCUCACCGGUCCGGUACUGACCGUGAGGUGCGAAAGCGUGGGGAGCAAACAGG
This 253-nucleotide ribosomal RNA is filed under the name uncultured bacterium. Its description in RNAcentral is "partial 16S ribosomal RNA". It matches the Rfam family "Bacterial small subunit ribosomal RNA", at positions 524 to 776 of the family's 1533-position model. The record is from RNAcentral.